GGACUACUUUGAAUUGUUAUGCCUGUGACCGUCACAUUAAAACUCCCAUAAAACCUCAGUGCCUGUGCAAUAAAAAUGCAUCAUGUUAAAGGAUUGUAUGGUCAUGGAAUAUGCUUGGAAUUUAGAAGUUUUGAAAUGGUUCUCACAGUUGGCUUGAUGCUUGGCAUUAUCCUCCCAAGGGAAAUAUACAAAGUGAGGGAGAUUGUUACCGGCAUUGGUGGAUUCUCUUCAACACUGCUGUUUAAUGGGACAAGAAGUUUUAUUUCAUCAUCUAUAGGAUCAUCAAACGGGGCGUCUUGCCACCAGACUGAGCCUCUUCCAUCAAUGAUACCAUUUCCCUGAAUUGUAAUUCCUCUCAACUUUGUGAACUCAAGCCAUUGUAAGAGACCUUUGCCCCAAGCAUUGGAGUUUGUUGGAGCAAUGAUCGUCCCAUCUAGCUGAGAAAAAUAUACUCUCUUCAGUCUUUAAUUUCAAUUGUCAGUCGUUGUUUAUGCAUUACUGGAUGGUAAUGGUAAUGGUUAUGGAAGACAAGAUCAAUUAUCAAUCACAGCUACUACUUGGGAUGAUCACAGGUGAAAGGUGAAAGCAUUGUUAUAGUAGUUAGUUGGCUGGAUUAUAUAUUUUUGUCUAUGCAAUUGACUAUUUUCAUGCAAGAUAAAAAUAAUCAUUCAGAAUUUUACAAGGAUGAAACUCUUUCUGAAUUUUACUGGUGGAUAUUGUUUUGACAAGACAUAAAGAUAAGAUUUCAGUUUCAUCCUUGCUCUA
Quercus robur (English oak) is the source of this 765-nucleotide long non-coding RNA. RefSeq lists it as uncharacterized. The record is from RefSeq and is a predicted model, not a curated record. The transcript is spliced from 2 exons. Lineage: Eukaryota; Viridiplantae; Streptophyta; Magnoliopsida; Fagales; Fagaceae.